Molecule: small RNA, 27 nt
Filed under: Bombyx mori (domestic silkworm)
Lineage: Eukaryota; Metazoa; Arthropoda; Insecta; Lepidoptera; Bombycidae
Description: ovarian small RNA-38417
Source: RNAcentral
UUUGGUGGUAUAACGACAGAGUUCAAU